RNAcentral lists this ribosomal RNA (463 nucleotides) under uncultured bacterium. RNAcentral's name for it is "partial 16S ribosomal RNA". It matches the Rfam family "Bacterial small subunit ribosomal RNA", at positions 28 to 507 of the family's 1533-position model. The record is from RNAcentral.
GACGAACGCUGGCGGCGUGCUUAACACAUGCAAGUCGAACGGUGAACCUCUUCGGAGGGGAUCAGUGGCGAACGGGUGAGUAACACGUGGGCAACCUGCCCCCGGCUCUGGGAUAACUCCAAGAAAUUGGGGCUAAUACCGGAUGUUCACCGCUUCCCGCAUGGGUGGUGGUGGAAAGGGUUUCCGGCUGGGGAUGGGCCCGCGGCUUAUCAGCUUGUUGGUGGGGUAGUGGCCUACCAAGGCGACGACGGGUAGCGGGCCUGAGAGGGUGACCGGCCACAUUGGGACUGAGAUACGGCCCAGACUCAUACGGGAGGCAGCAGGGGGGAAUAUGGCACAAUGGGCGGAAGCCUGACGCAGCAACGCCGGGUGGGGGAGGACGGCCUUCGGGUUGUAAACCGUUUUCGGCAGGGAAGAAGCGUGAGUGACGGUACUGGGAAAAGAAGCACCGGCUAACUACGUG